RNAcentral lists this ribosomal RNA (495 nucleotides) under uncultured bacterium. Its description in RNAcentral is "partial 16S ribosomal RNA". It matches the Rfam family "Bacterial small subunit ribosomal RNA", at positions 28 to 507 of the family's 1533-position model. The record is from RNAcentral.
GACGAACUCUGGCGGCGUGCCUAAUACAUGCAAGUAGAACGCUGAAGGAGGAGCUUGCUUCUCUGGAUGAGUUGCGAACGGGUGAGUAACGCGUAGGUAACCUGCCUGGUAGCGGGGGAUAACUAUUGGAAACGAUAGCUAAUACCGCAUAAUAGUAGAUGUUGCAUGACAUUUGCUUAAAAGGUGCAAUUGCAUCACUACCAGAUGGACCUGCGUUGUAUUAGCUAGUUGGUGGGGUAACGGCUCACCAAGGCGACGAUACAUAGCCGACCUGAGAGGGUGAUCGGCCACACUGGGACUGAGACACGGCCCAGACUCCUACGGGAGGCAGCAGUAGGGAAUCUUCGGCAAUGGACGGAAGUCUGACCGAGCAACGCCGCGUGAGUGAAGAAGGUUUUCGGAUCGUAAAGCUCUGUUGUAAGAGAAGAACGAGUGUGAGAGUGGAAAGUUCACACUGUGACGGUAUCUUACCAGAAAGGGACGGCUAACUACGUG